UUUUGUCUUGUUAAAUGUUGCCCAACUUCAUGUGGAUAUCAGGGGUACCUUUUUUUUUUUUAACUAUGUAGCCCAGACUGCCCUCCGUUGCCUGUGUGCUAGAAUUACAGUCUUACACAGCCAUGCCAUACCUAGGUCACCCAACUUUUUUUUUUUAAAGAUUUAUUUAUUAUAUGUAAGUACACUGUAGCUUUAUUCAGACACCCCAGAAGAGGACAUCAGAUCUCAUUACAGAUGAUUGUGAGCCACCAUGUGGUUGCUAGGAUUUGAACUCGGGACCUUCGGAAGAGCAGUCGGCGCUCUUAACCACUGAGCCAUCUCACCAGCCCCAAGUUGUAAUUUGUUUAAAAAGUCAUUUGUAAGACCUAAUUUAAAAUUUUAAUCAAGAAGCUAAACUUUGUUUCCCAAGAAGCUUAAGUUUUUCUCUUCCAAGUGGGUUAGCAGUUCUUUUGUUUUGUUUUGUUUUGUUUUUUCGAGACAAGGUUUCUCUGUGUAGCCCUGGCUGUCCUAGAACUCACUCUGUAGACCAGGCUGGCCUCAGAAAUCCACCUGCCUCUGCCUCCCAAGUGCUGGGAUUAAAGGCGUGCGCCACCGCCGCCUGGCAUGUUAGUAGUUCUUAAAACCUAUGUUUCCUGAAUUCUCAGACAGGAGUUCCUUGGCACCAUAGAGUAAGUUAAUUGGUUUUCUUCCUCCCUCCUUUUCUUUUGCUUUCUUUGCUAGGGAUGAGGCCCAGAGCCUUACACGAGCCCUCUACCCCUGAGCUACAGUCACAGCCUAGGACUCCUGUUUAUUAAGUAGAUAGUUUAGAACGCCACUGGGAUUUGAAUUCUGGGUGAGUAAGCCAUGCCUCAUUAAGGAGAUCCCAGUUCAAGUAAUUUUUAAAAACAUUUAAGUUUCCAAAAAUGUUGAGUUACUAAUUCAUCAUAGAAAAGGAUGGUAGCUAAGGAGUUUACGUGAAUGUAUGUUUGGUUUUGAUUCAACUAGAAACAGGAAAAUGUCAAGCUGUCGGUUGUGGCUUUCACUUAGUCUUUUUUUCUAAGUAAUGAGCUGCUGGUUUGUUUUUCUCUAUCACCAUGGCAAUUCCAGCUAGUUUUGAAGAGGUAGAAGAUUUGGUUUGUUUUGACUUUGUUUUCAUUUUUGUGAGACUUAAUUUAUUUUACAUUUACUUCAUUUUAAGAUUUAUUUAUUAUUAUAUAUAAGUACACUGUAGCUGUAGAUGCGCCAGAAGAGAGCGUCAGAUCUCAUUACAGAUUGUUGUGAGCUACCAUGUGGUUGCUGGGAGGGAUUUGAACUCAGGACCUUCUGGAGAGCAGUCAGUGCUCUUAAACACUGAGCCACCUCUCCGGCCCCUUACAUUUACCUAUUAUGUGAGGUUGGGGCGUGUACGUGGGAGUUUUCUUCCUGGGGUUUACCUUGAGAUGUUGUGUUAUCACUGUUGGGCCCAGUAGUCCAGUAGUUAGAGCACCUGUGUACUAUUGAUUCCUUAGAAAGUUUGCAAAGAAAACCUUCUCACCCAGGUCACACAACCUCAUUACCUUCUGCUCUCUUCUUACCCUCUUGUCUGCUCCAGGUCUGAUUCUGCUCUGACAGCCCCUCCCCUAGCUCACUCCAGUAGAAGUUUUUCAUUAGUUCAUAGUCUGCAGAAAAAUGCCUGUGGUGUGACUAAUAUUUCCACAUGGGUGUAGCUAGGGAAAUUUUUUUCCACAAACAAAAAAGUUAAUCUAUUGGAAACAUGUGUUUUGGUUUUGGUUUGCUUUGUUGUUUUUCAAGACAGUUUCACUGCAUAGCCCUGGCUGUCCUAGAAGUCACUCUGUAGACCAGGCUGCCCUUGAACUCAAAGAUCCUCCUGCCUCUUCUUCCUGAGUACUGGGAUUAAAGGUGCAUGCCACCACUAAUAUUUUUUUUAAGAUUUAGUUAUUUAUUUUAUGUGUGUGAAUGCAUUGUUGAUAUCUUCAAGCACACCAGAAGAGAGCAUCAGAUACCAUUACAGAUGGUUGCUUGCCAGGAAUUGAACUCAGGACCUUUGGAAGAGCAGUCAGUAUUCUUAACCACUGAGCCAUCUCUCCAGCCCCCCACUAAUAUUUUUUAACGUUGAGUUUGUAGCUCCUCAGUGGAAACUUGUAUUGUUAUACUCUACAUUUCUAGCUGUUAUCUUUCCAGUAAGAGAACAUUAAUAAGUUUUUUAUUUGGUAUUGAUUGAUUUGUCUGUAUGUUGGGUACCACAGCACAUGUGUAUCAGUUAUCUACUACCAGAUAUGUCCCAGGAAUUGAAGGCAAGUAAUUACGCUUAGUGGCAAAUAUUGUCACCUGCUAAGGCAUCUCACUGGCAUGCAUUUGUUUGUUUUUGCAAUGCUGGGUGUCAGGAUGAGAGCCUUUUGAGUACUAGUUGUCCUUAAAUAUCUAACAGUUCUUUUUUUUUAAAAAAAAGAUUUGUUUAUUUUAUGUAUAUGAAUACAAUGUUGCUGUCUUCAGACACACCAGAAGAAGGUGUUGGAUUCCAUUACAGGUGGUUGUGAGCCACCAUGUGGUUGCUGGGAAUUGAACUCAGGUCCUCUGGAAAAGCAGUCAGUGCUUUUAACCACUGAGCCAUCUCUCCAGCCCUCUAAGAAAUCUUUCUAAGCAAAAACUAAUCUUCAUGGCCACUCUUGGCUAUCAGAAUAAAUUAAUUAAUUCGGUCCCCAUUCUGUAACUAAUUUUGGGUGUCUAAUUAGCAGCUUUUCCUUUUUACCCUUUUUUAAAAAAGAAUUAUUUAUAUAUUACAUAUAUAUGUGUGUGUAUAUAUGUAUGUGUGUGUGUGUGUGUGCAUACAUAUAUAUAUAUAAGCUUUAUUCAGACACACCAGAAGAAGGCAUCUGAUCACGGUACAGAUGGUUCCGAGCCACCAUGUGGUUGCUAGGAAUUGAACUCAGGACCUCUGGAAGAAGAGUCAGUGUUCCUAACCACCCGAGUCAUCUCUCCAGCCCCACCUCCUUUUACCUUUUAUGGUGUCCUUAUACAUAAAAUACCUAGCUCAGCACAGGGUUCAAGGCCAACCUGGUGUACAGAGCAAGUCCUAGGACAGCCAGGACUACACAGAGAAACCCUGUCUCAU
This 3091-nucleotide long non-coding RNA is filed under the name Mus musculus (house mouse). RNAcentral's name for it is "long non-coding RNA chr14:34316632-34319723". The record is from RNAcentral. Lineage: Eukaryota; Metazoa; Chordata; Mammalia; Rodentia; Muridae.